This 470-nucleotide ribosomal RNA is filed under the name Escherichia coli. RNAcentral's name for it is "partial 23S ribosomal RNA". It matches the Rfam family "Bacterial large subunit ribosomal RNA", at positions 726 to 1194 of the family's 2925-position model. The record is from RNAcentral. Lineage: Bacteria; Pseudomonadati; Pseudomonadota; Gammaproteobacteria; Enterobacterales; Enterobacteriaceae.
UGAUCUAGCCAUGGGCAGGUUGAAGGUUGGGUAACACUAACUGGAGGACCGAACCGACUAAUGUUGAAAAAUUAGCGGAUGACUUGUGGCUGGGGGUGAAAGGCCAAUCAAACCGGGAGAUAGCUGGUUCUCCCCGAAAGCUAUUUAGGUAGCGCCUCGUGAAUUCAUCUCCGGGGGUAGAGCACUGUUUCGGCAAGGGGGUCAUCCCGACUUACCAACCCGAUGCAAACUGCGAAUACCGGAGAAUGUUAUCACGGGAGACACACGGCGGGUGCUAACGUCCGUCGUGAAGAGGGAAACAACCCAGACCGCCAGCUAAGGUCCCAAAGUCAUGGUUAAGUGGGAAACGAUGUGGGAAGGCCCAGACAGCCAGGAUGUUGGCUUAGAAGCAGCCAUCAUUUAAAGAAAGCGUAAUAGCUCACUGGUCGAGUCGGCCUGCGCGGAAGAUGUAACGGGGCUAAACCAUGCAC